GGGACAGUAGGUUGGUCGUGCCACCGGUACGUACUGGUCUCACUGAUUCCUCCUUCCUGAAGAACCGUAAUGCCAUUAAUUUGGUGUUGCGGGGAGACAGGACUGUUACUUUGAAAAAAUUAGAGUGUUUAAAGCAAGCUAACGCUUGAAUACAUUAGCAUGGAAUAAUGAAAUAGGACGAUCGAUCCUCUUUUGUUGGUUUCUAGGAUUGACGUA
Molecule: ribosomal RNA, 216 nt
Filed under: Glomeromycotina sp.
Lineage: Eukaryota; Fungi; Glomeromycota
Description: partial small subunit ribosomal RNA
Rfam family: Eukaryotic small subunit ribosomal RNA (bases 40-216)
Source: RNAcentral